CAAGACUAACACAACUGGAAUCACAUUCUUUGAACUUCUAUAACUCAAAAUAUGCAUCUAACCAACUUAAAAGGAUUUCUAAAAGCACUUUGAAAGAAUAAAUAAAAACAUCAGAAACUUUCUACUAACACAUAUCAUAUCAUGACUCUACUGCAUAAUUCUACUCACAAGGAUUCCAAAACAUCUUCAUUUGCUAUUUUAUGAUUUUUCUUCAAUUUACUACGAAUUUCCAAAUUUUAACCUUUUUAGAUCUAGGAAAAUUAAAGAAAUCCGAGGCCAUCUUCCAAUCUAGCCCCCAGGUCUACGGGUUAAUCAUGCAAAGGCUCCUGGAUUUUGUGCCUACACCCCUGGACAGAUUCCCACCUUAAACAUAACUCGUGGACUUUAUCCCAUAAC
This 396-nucleotide long non-coding RNA is filed under the name Setaria viridis. RNAcentral describes it as "long non-coding RNA (SVIR_LNC010380)". The record is from RNAcentral. Lineage: Eukaryota; Viridiplantae; Streptophyta; Magnoliopsida; Poales; Poaceae.